ACAUCCCUUGCAUUACUCUUAAUCGAGGAAAUCCCUUCGGGGACAAGGUGACAGGUGGUGCAUGGUUGUCGUCAGCUCGUGUCGUGAGAUGUUGGGUUAAGUCCCGCAACGAGCGCAACCCUUGUUGUUAGUUACUACCAUUAAGUUGAGGACUCUAGCGAGACUGCCUGGGUUAACCAGGAGGAAGGUGGGGAUGACGUCAAAUCAUCAUGCCCCUUAUGUGUAGGGCUACACACGUGCUACAAUGGCUGGUACAGAGAGAUGCAAUACCGCGAGGUGGAGCCAAACUUAAAAACCAGUCUCAGUUCGGAUUGUAGGCUGAAACUCGCCUACAUGAAGCUGGAGUUACUAGUAAUCGCGAAUCAGAAUGGUCGCGGUGGAAUACCUUCCCGGGUCUUGUACACACCG
This 408-nucleotide ribosomal RNA is filed under the name bacterium enrichment culture DGGE gel band 243. RNAcentral describes it as "bacterial SSU rRNA". It matches the Rfam family "Bacterial small subunit ribosomal RNA", at positions 984 to 1392 of the family's 1533-position model. The record is from RNAcentral.